RNAcentral lists this ribosomal RNA (466 nucleotides) under uncultured bacterium. RNAcentral describes it as "partial 16S ribosomal RNA". It matches the Rfam family "Bacterial small subunit ribosomal RNA", at positions 28 to 507 of the family's 1533-position model. The record is from RNAcentral.
GACGAACGCUGGCGGCGCGCCUAACACAUGCAAGUCGAACGAGCGAGAGAGAGCUUGCUUUCUCGAGCGAGUGGCGAACGGGUGAGUAACGCGUGAGGAACCUGCCUCAAAGAGGGGGACAUCAGUUGGAAACGACUGCUAAUACCGCAUAAGCCCACGGUGCCGCAUGGCACAGAGGGAAAAGGAGCAAUCCGCUUUGAGAUGGCCUCGCGUCCGAUUAGCUAGUUGGUGAGGUAAUGGCCCACCAAGGCGACGAUCGGUAGCCGGACUGAGAGGUUGAACGGCCACAUUGGGACUGAGACACGGCCCAGACUCCUACGGGAGGCAGCAGUGGGGAAUAUUGCACAAUGGGGGAAACCCUGAUGCAGCGACGCCGCGUGGAGGAAGAAGGUCUUCGGAUUGUAAACUCCUGUUGUUGGGGAAGAUAAUGACGGUACCCAACAAGGAAGUGACGGCUAACUACGUG